AUUAGCAACAUAUAGAGCUUAUAAACAACAUUUUAUUAUACUGUGCUGUAAAUAUACAAACAGACAUUACUAUGUCUCUUUUUCCAUCCCUGAUAUAGGGUCAUGGCGGUGUGGAUGGUCUCCUCGGAGUUCAGGGAAAUGAAGGCGAUCCAGGUGAUAUUGGUCACAGGGGAGCCUUAGGGAGACCUGGCCAGCAGGGGGGGCAGGGCUCACCGGGACAAACAGGUUUAAGGGGAUUCCAGGGGGGCCCAGGUCCAAAGGGUUUUCCAGGCACAAAAGGAAAACGUGGGGCCAAAGGGCAUUGAGGGACUCAGCGGAGAGCAGGGACAAGGGGGCAGUGUGGGACAAAAGGUACCAUUUACCACUGAAGAAGGCCUCCUCUGAAAGCCAUACUGGCCAGUACAGAGCGUCAGCUGUCCAGUGUGUAUAUCCUGCUCCUGUGCUCUUGUCUUCACAUUGCCUAUUCACGGUUAUGAUUCAGUUAUGAUGCACUUUAAUUUCUAAACUCUCCACCACUGGACAGAAUCACUGUAACAGCAAAUUAAAGGUUUUAU
Non-coding RNA from Paramormyrops kingsleyae, 554 nucleotides. The record is from RefSeq and is a predicted model, not a curated record. Lineage: Eukaryota; Metazoa; Chordata; Actinopteri; Osteoglossiformes; Mormyridae.